UUCACAGCUCACCCUAUUUAAAAGUUCCCUGUUUUUUCAUGGUUUUUCCAAAUGACGUACUAGCAAGCCAAGGUAGUAGACAUCUGCUUUCUCCCCUCCUAGAAGCUCAGAAGAAGCAAUUGGAGGAGAGUAUAGAGCUGAUCCAAGACGAAUGUGUGUCAGAGAAUGCAGACCACUCCACAGAGGAGCCUGCUGAAGGAGGGCAAGAAGCGGAUGGAGGAGAGAUGACUGAUGGGGUAGAGGAGGACUUCGAUGAAGAUGGGGGUCACGAGCUGUUUCUACAGAUAAAGUGAUAUGAAGUAGUGUACACUAGUGCAAA
RNAcentral lists this long non-coding RNA (319 nucleotides) under Rattus norvegicus (Norway rat). Its description in RNAcentral is "long non-coding RNA NONRATT016229". The record is from RNAcentral. Lineage: Eukaryota; Metazoa; Chordata; Mammalia; Rodentia; Muridae.